Scatophagus argus is the source of this 2190-nucleotide long non-coding RNA. RefSeq lists it as uncharacterized. The record is from RefSeq and is a predicted model, not a curated record. Lineage: Eukaryota; Metazoa; Chordata; Actinopteri; Scatophagidae. The transcript is spliced from 4 exons.
ACUUAAGUUACAGAGCUGUGCACCCCGAUGCGCAUGUCCAUUUCCGGUUAGCGCGCAUCUACGGCUACCGCCAAACUCAUUCAAACGCAAGAGGUCAAAGUCGUGCACCUGGCCCCAGUGCUCUUACCGAAGGCUGACUCCAGCCUUGAUUUCGGUGGUGUGAGACCCUAAAUACUAAAACCAGCAAACCAACACAGAAGAAAGGAGACAAGGUGGUGUCUGUGACAGUGAAGUUGGUGGCAGUUGGAAAAGAGGUACCCUCGGUCACCAAGACUGUAUUGGCCACCAGGAUACCAGAUAACUGUCUUACCCAGCCAGACCAACUCGGCAGCAGCCGCAGCUUUUCGUCCCACUGCACAUCCUUCGUCACUGCUGCUUCAUUGAUAAGAAGCUUUCUCAGUAGACUGGACCAAAAUCCUUUCGAGACGGACCUGGGGACUUUGAUGACGUCAGAGAAGUCACGAUGAUUCGGAUGUUGAGGGAGUUCAACUAGUUUACUGCAGUCUCGCUUUGACCAACAACUGAGUUCAUUCAACACUCACAGGAAAAGGACUAAAUCUGCGAAACUGGGUCAUAUGUCUCGUACAUUUAACAUUUAUAAUGAUUGUGUAUGUCUAUGGUGCAGUACGUAUGUGUACCUGGUACAUGUAGGAGACAUUGGAUCCAAGGUAUUUGGCACCAUAGAACAGUCCAUCGGGCCAUUUCACCUGAACAGCUUCCCCAACUUCAGGAGGACCCAAGUUCACACAAUCUCUGCUCUACAAAUACAAGAGAAUAAUGGUUAGUCUGUGUAAGUGUCUGAGCAUGUGUCAAAACGUCCUCCUUGAUUCUGGCAUUGUCCACACAUACAGAUACAGUAUUUUCUGAACAGAAUUUUUUCCCCUCCAUUGAGAAAAAAAAACAACCUUUCUGUAUGUAGUUCAGUAAACCUACAAAUCAAACUACUUUGCUGAUCUAAAAACAAGCCUUUUAUAUAUACUUGCUGUGAAAUUUCAAGAUCUUAUUUUUCACACAAUAUGCAUUGCAUUGUUAAGAAAACAAAUGAAGCAAAGUUAAGUUGCAAGUUAAGUUAAGGCUGAUGCUGUCUGGUCUUACAAAAAUUAAAUACAGUAUACAGGCUGCUGAUCGAGAGCUAUCACAAAAACUACAUUUUUUAAAUUUCAAAUUUGAAUGGUUAAUGAUGUUCAAAACACUUACAACAUGAAUCACAAGAUGAAAUGCUGAAACAUAGCGCAGUUGGAUUCUAUAAUUUCAAAAUAUAAAUGGAGUUUGUAUCUAUUUUUUUUCUUUGUGUAAUGUAGUAAAAAUUGUUUAUUUAAGGGUUUUAAGUAAGAAUUAAUGGGGUGUAGAACUUGCUGUAAAUUUAAAUAAGAUUAGGUCAAUUAAGGCUGAGUUGGCUGGUUGAAUACAAAUUAGUAAAAUGUCCUCACUAAUGCAGUGGUAUUAGUGUGUUAAACACACAGAGAGACUCAUCUGUUACCAUAAUUAUUUUAACAAAUCCGUGAAUUUCAACUCAUUGAGAUCAGUCAGUCAUGUCAGUGAUUAUUUGACGCUCCAUAAAAACUCAGCAGCCCUAUGAUAUUUUAUUUUAAUUUUCAGGAAUCCAUGUUUUUUCAUAGUAAAUGCAAAACAGUGAGAAAACCAUUCAAAAUGUGAACUAAUUGGUUUUGCAGACAGACACCUCAGAGAUAUUAAAACAAGCUUCAACUCCCUCAUGCAACGAGCAUUUGAGAAGUAAUGAUAUUUCCUGAAAUAAGGAAGCUCCUUUCAAAAUAAGAGGGUUUUAAUAUGAUAUGAUAUGACCUCGUACAACUGGGAGGUGACCUCUCGAGCAUGACUGUAAUUAAACAUAUUCUCACCACUAUAUCCUCGGGGUAGGUAUCGUUGGAGAAGGAGCCGUCAUCGAACAUGACCUCGUAGAACAUCUGGGACGUGAUCUGGGUGACCUUUGAGCUGUAGUAGCGCAGAUUCUUGUGUUUGGAGAUCACCGUCUGGCCCAGUGAGAUGGACGCUUGGCACGCGCGCUGCUUCUAGUAUAUGCAGAGCGGCAAUUAGACUACUGUAUAACAAUCGGUACAGGAUUAUUUCAAAUCACUUCUACAGUGCUGUUUUUUUAGUUUCAGUUGCAAUUGGAAAAGAUUUGUAAUAAAUAAAUAAAUAAAUAAAAUAACAAAACAUUUUGUAAAGAGU